GAUUCUAUAGUGUAGCGGUCAUCACAUCUGCAUUACAGGCAGAAUGUCCUGGGAUCAACCCCCUGAGUGGAACCC
Ameiurus melas (black bullhead) is the source of this 75-nucleotide non-coding RNA. NCBI's taxonomy places the organism in Eukaryota, Metazoa, Chordata, Actinopteri, Siluriformes, Ictaluridae. The record is from the annotation of a GenBank genome assembly.